CCUACGGGAGGCUGCAGUGGGGAAUAUUGCACAAUGGGGGAAACCCUGAUGCAGCGACGCCGCGUGAGUGAAGAAGUAUUUCGGUAUGUAAAGCUCUAUCAGCAGGGAAGAAAAUGACGGUACCUGACUAAGAAGCCCCGGCUAACUACGUGCCAGCAGCCGCGGUCAUACGUAGGGGGCAAGCGUUAUCCGGAUUUACUGGGGGUAACGGGAGCGUAGGUGGCAUGGUAAGCCAGAAGGGAAAACCCGGGGCUCAACCCCGCGGAUUGCUUUUGGAACUAUCAGGCUGGAGUGCUGGAGGGGUAAGCGGAAUGCGUAGUGUAGCGGUGAAAUGCGUAGAUAUUAGGAGGAACACCGGUGGCGAAGGCGGCUUACUGGACAGAAACUGACACUGAGGCUCGAAAGCGUGGGGAGCAAACAGGAUUAGAUACCCGGGUAGUC
Molecule: ribosomal RNA, 441 nt
Filed under: uncultured bacterium
Lineage: Bacteria
Description: partial 16S ribosomal RNA
Rfam family: Bacterial small subunit ribosomal RNA
Source: RNAcentral